Molecule: ribosomal RNA, 612 nt
Filed under: Caenocholax sp. 3 DPM-2010
Lineage: Eukaryota; Metazoa; Arthropoda; Insecta; Strepsiptera; Myrmecolacidae
Description: bacterial SSU rRNA
Source: RNAcentral
AACCUGUAUCUCGUACUAUUAAAAACCCGCGAUUUUAUGCGCGUGGUUUUUAAUAUCAUAGUGUACGAGAUAUAUGCUGGUGGAUGCUCAGAAAUUGUAUGCUAUAGAUGUGCAUUUGCUCGUUUCUAUACUUAUGAUUUCGAUAUUCGAUACGAUGAGUUUAUUUUCUUUCGCUUCUGGUGAAUUAUUAGAUUCAAUCGUAUUCCGGCUGCGUUGGAAAUGUUGCGGUCAGAAAUGCAGAUUCUGUAUUAACGCGCACUUUUUCAGCCUGUCGGACCAGCGAAAUUACUUUGAACAAAUUAGAGUGCUUAAAGCAGGCAAAUUUUAUGCCUUGAAUAUACACAGCAUGGAAUAAUAGAAUAUGAUCUCGAUACUGUUUGUUUGAUGCUUUCUUGUUUUUCGGAGCAAAAAAGUAUUAUUCAUCUGAUAGUAUGCAUUGGUUUUAAUUGACUAGUGUUGUAUGGUCGAUGGAAAGAAAUUGGCUUAAAGUGACAUUAUCAGCUGAUCGGCUAAAGCAGUAGGUGAAAAAUUGAUUGAAAAUGUUUUCUAGCGUUUCCAUAAAAAUCGGUUUUUUAUCCUACUGUGACGGUUUGCAUUUUGUCACGACAGUUU